AGCCAAGCCCACAUACUUGACGGAUAAAUGUUAGGGUGUCUCAUUGGGGAAGAAGAAGAAGUGGAUUAAGCCGAUGCAUAGUUGCUUCCGUGUUGACGUCAAUGCUUUGUUUUAUCUAGAUCAGGGAGCGUAUGGGGUGGGAAUCAUAAUUAGAAAUUAUGAAGGCACAAUGGUGUUUUAUCUAUGACACUCAGCCUAUCUCAAGUGCUAUGAUGGCUGAAAUCUUGGCUGUGGUACAAGGGAUUAACCCACUACACAACUAACCUUGUGUACACAAUUCUCGCGCGACGUGUUAGGCCAGCUCGAUGAAUCUCGAUGAAUUAAGAAAUAGCAUUAACCUGAUACAAAACGUGCAUAGAUAACAUUUCAUGGUUAGUAUACAGUUCAUAAAGCAUUUGCGAUUUUAUAUAACUCAAGCAUAAUUUUUGAAAAUAAAGCCCACCUUGAUAGGACAAAGCCUGAAGUUCAAACGUAACUCGUCUCGAAAACGCAGUGCUAUUCCUCUUGGUCAACUGAGCCUACAAGAUAAUCUAAUCUUAAUAGGUCUCGUGAUACGAGUCUUAGUUCAAAGUAGGAUAAAGCUUACUAAUUUCUAAAUCACUAUGCCUGGGUUUUAAAACUCACUUUAAAAUCUUGAAAAUCAAUUGCUCGGCUAAGGGCACCAACAACAAAAUCCUUGCUUGACUUUUGUUGAAAUUUUUUAACUUGAAAAUAUUUUCAGUGCUUAAAUAUUUUUCUUUCAAAAUCAGAAUAUAAUUUCAUAAAUACUUUAAUCAAAUAAUAUGUGAAUCAUACUUACUAUAUGCACAUAAUAAGAAUUAUGAUGCAUUUUCUAUUACAUUAAUUACAUGAAUACAAGUAAUUAAUAGUAUAUAUGAAAGAAUAACUCUUAAUCAAUCUAACUUGAUUAAUCACAAGUCACUUAAUAAACUAAUGAUGAUUCUCAUCAUAUACUUAAUCAACACAAUUGAAUUUGAUUAAGUAUAUCAAAUCUAUAUUCUAUUCAAUUGAAUAAUUCAACUCAUUAGUCUCAACCCAUUAUUAAAAGAAUGAAGCCUAAUCGAUCAUUUGAUAUAAUACCCAAAUCUGAUUAUUAAGUAAGACCAACAAAAAUUAAAUUAUUCCCAAGAAGAGUAAAAUAACAAGCCCAGUUUCCAAAGCCCAAAUGAACACUUUCUCUCUCCUUUAAUCAAUCGGACUUCUCUCUCUGUUCACUCUCUCGAUCUCUCCAGCGCUGCCGCCUUCUCCUUCUUCCCCGGCGAAGGGCGCCGCCUUCGGCCCCCGUCACCACCGGCAUCUCCCCCUCUCUAGCUCUCUCCUUCCCUAUCUCCCUUGCCGCCUCUUUCUCCUUCUCUAUUCCUCUCAGACCUUCCACCCAUAAUUCCCCAAUUUCAGAACCCUUCUCUCUCAAUCUUAGCCCGCGAACAGCCACCGGCCUCUAUUCUCAUAGCGAGAAUCGCCGCCGCCUUCUCCUCUCCUCUGGUCGGACAGCAACGGCCCCACGACCGCCGCCGUUCUGAUUCUCACCAUCAAAACCCCAUCUCCGUCUCUAUUUCCAAAUCACUCAACAAUCACCAGGCCUAAGGCUAAGUUCACAAUUUUAUUUAAUAUGCACAAUGCUUCCUUCUAUAUCAAUUCUCCAACUAAGUGUAAAGAUUCAAGUUUUAUCGAUUUGUAAAGUUAGAUGCAUUAUUUUUAUAAAAUGGAUGGUGACUCAAAAUUGAUUUGCAGGGCUAAGAUGAGAAGAGAAGCCAACCUGGAAACCUUGAUAUUAAAGGUGCAUUGCUAUUCAGCUGAAACAACUUGCACUUGAUCUGGAAACAAUUUGAGAUUUGAGGAGGACCUCAAUGUUGGGAAAAUGAGUUGAGAAUCGAACAACUAAUUGUUAAUGUGAAAGGGUGAAGGCUUUGUAUACAUGAAAUGAAAUAAAANAAUCUUUGUUUUCUAUGUUCAAGUUUCAACUAGGUUCUACAAAUGAAAACGUGAGAAAAUGAGUAAGUUUUUUUGAGGGGUGAGAAAAUGAGUAAUUGAUUGAGCUAUUGAGGUUUAAUGGACAAUGGGCUAAAAAAUAUGGGUAUUUGAAUGAUAGAUUGGAGAAGAAAAUUUUAUGCUGGAAUCAAAGGAAGUUCUCUGCGGGGGAAAAAAGAGGUCCUUAUCAAGGCGGUAGCUCAGGCGAUGCCAACAUUUGCUAUGCAAUGCUUCAGAAUACCGGAUACUAUCCAUAAAAUAUGUAUGAUAUUUUGGUGAGGCGAUAAGGAGGAGAAAAAAUGUAUGCAUUAGGCGAGGUGAGAACGCAUGUGUGUGUCGAAACAAAAAAGAGGCAUGUGGUUCAUGGAUUUAAAGAUUUUAAACAAAGCUUUAGCCGCGAAACAUGCUUGGAGGAUGAUUUUGUAUCCACCCGUGUUUUUAAAGCUAAAUACUUCAAAAAUGAUGAUUUGAUGCAAGCUCAUGCUCUCUCGAGAUCGUCUUAUGUUUUGGCGCUCUAUUGCCUAGACGGAAAUUAGUUUUUCAAAUAUAGAUUUACCAAGAUUGAGAGGUUUUAUUAGUCACCUCACCACUUUUUUUUCCAACUCUAUUACAAGUCCACCAAAAUCAAAGUCAUAUAUUUAAGCAAGUACAAGAACAGUAGCCUAUUCCCUCCCCUGCUCUGCAGCACCAAUUUCGGCUGUCAUUCAGCUACCCUACUCUUUCAUUCCUAUCAAGCCUUUGAAGGAUCGCAGAGGACCCAUCUGCCCAUAUACAUAUACUAUCAGCCACCAUACUUCAACUGUUGAGGUACAAAAAUAGGGAAAUGUCUAUCCUAGGCUGAUACGUGGUAGGCUGGGACGUUGGAUGAGUGCCACGUCAAAAGUGAUAGAUAACUAGUUCAUUUCAUUUAAAUCAACCCAAUCAACCCAGAAAACCGGUUCAUUUCAUUUACAACCAACCCAGACCGGUACUAUAGUGCUUUUGAAUUUACAUCCAAAAAUAGCUCAUUCAGCCCCCUACACUUGACCCUUCUUCUCAAGCCUCCCAUGGAUCAAUACUCAAGUCUUCAUCCAAACUCUACUCCCUUUAAAGAAUCAGCAACAAUCCCUCUCCAUUUCUUUGCACGCCAAUACAAUCCCUCUCCAUUUCUUUGCACGCCAAUAACAGAGAGUCAAUGAGUUCAUCUUAGCUUCUGCCAAACUUAAAAGAUUUUUUUCCCAGCAAAUCUAUUAUCACAACCAGGUUCAAACACAUUCGCAAGGUAUUAUACUAUCUCAGUCAUUCAACAUGUUUCACACCAAUAAGAAUUCUGAGUAAGGCAUAAAUGACAUCAACAGACUAGAAAUUUUUAGGUGAAAUAAGUGUGCUUUAACUGAUUAGCUUUUGAACUCAAGUACCCAAAUAGAACGCUAGUAAAUAACACACAAGGACCUAUCUAUUGCAUAACUGGUGAGGGCCACAAUCAAACACCAGACCAGAUUUCAUAGUUCACCUAGUGCAGUAAUUAGUUGAACUUAAGGCUUUGUAAGCUUACGAACCUGUUGAUUCGAGUGCGGGUUAUGUUGGCUGGGGUCGGACCUUGGAAGAGUUGGGCGAGAAUGGAGACUGCGUUGCAGGGCACCGCGAAUCGACGGAGCAACGGAUGACUGCUCCGUUCACCAGAUGCAGGGAAACAACAGCGCGGUGACCCCAGUUAAGGAAGACACGACAACACGAUCGGCGUUGGGGGAUCCAACACCGACGACGACGAACGCUAUCGACUCGCCGAUCCUCGAACCACCAGCAGCGAUGGGCGGAUUCUAGGCCUCGCAGCUCACCGAUUUUUCUUGAGAUGACGACGGUUGGGCUGUACCGAACAGAGAACAGCUAGGGCUCGACCCUUACUAGAGCUACGUUAGAGAAAAUCAGAGAGAAGAGAGAACCAAGGAGGAAAUCAUGCCUAUGGCCUCGCUCGGUAACGGCGGUGAUUUCUGAUGGAGAAGAGAAUUAGGGCUCGCCCCUUUCGCCUUGAUUGAGUGCGCCAGAGAGGGUGUGAGUGAGAGAGGGGAAAAGAGAUAGAGGUUGCGAGUCAGGCGAAGGGGGAUGCCGCGUUGACGACCGGAUUCCGGCCUCGCCAGAGCUUAGAGAAAGGGAGAGGUGCUGUUCUGUAUACAGCGAGAACGAGAGAGAGAGAGAAGGUAUCAGCCGAUUAUUGAGAAGAAAGAAAGAAAGAGAGAUGGGUUGGGCUUCAGUAAUUGAUUUUUUGAUUGGGCCUCUACUGUUGGGCUGCAAUUGUUUGACUGAAAUUUAUGAUAUUAAUGGGCCAAGUCUUUAGGCCGAAUCUGUGGGGGAAUUUAUUUUCUUAAAGGGUAAUUAUAUAUAUAGCCCUCAUUUUACUCAACAUAGCCUCAAAUUUAUAAAAGAAAUACAAAUAUUAGUGAAUGUAUUAUUUUGCCCUUGUAGCCCC
Molecule: long non-coding RNA, 4414 nt
Filed under: Salvia miltiorrhiza (redroot sage)
Lineage: Eukaryota; Viridiplantae; Streptophyta; Magnoliopsida; Lamiales; Lamiaceae
Description: long non-coding RNA (SMIL_LNC008892)
Source: RNAcentral